CUCUAGAGGCCUUCAGUUGUGCCUGCUGUGUCACAUGAGAGGAGAGAGGCUAUGUUUACACACAGUGUUCUGACCUAAGAACACCUGGAUGACGGGUAGCCUAACAUU
Small nucleolar RNA from Rattus norvegicus (Norway rat), 108 nucleotides. Ensembl annotates it as small nucleolar RNA SNORA17. Lineage: Eukaryota; Metazoa; Chordata; Mammalia; Rodentia; Muridae. The record is from Ensembl.